Molecule: long non-coding RNA, 1432 nt
Filed under: Homo sapiens (human)
Lineage: Eukaryota; Metazoa; Chordata; Mammalia; Primates; Hominidae
Description: HSALNT0386874
Source: RNAcentral
UGACAGGCAUCCUCUCAGUCCCUCAGGUCCUUUGCCUCCUCUGUUGGGUCACAGACAACAAAAGACAAUGGAAGCUGCAGAUUCACCCACCCAAGGGGCAUUUCCUUCAGCGCCACCAUGCCAGAGAGAGCGGCAACUUCCCACAGGUUGCAAAUGAGUCCGCGUGAUGGGGACGUGAGUUAAUUAGUGCACUUGGGUUUGAGAGCUAUAGAAUAAACAGUGGCUGGAGGAUGAUACACCAAAGAAGGAAAGAAACAAGUGAACUCAAAUCAAAGAAUUCACAUCAGCUUUUUUGAAAGGGGAAAACCAAAAACGUCAAUUGCAAGCCUCAACCCCCUUCUUCUUCCCCAAACUGUUUUUCCUUUUGGUUUAUUUCUGCAUCAGAGUCUACCUAGGUUUCAAAACCAAUUUUCCAUUUUCCUAGAACCAGCCAAAUAUGGAGUGUGUGCAAAAACAUGGUAGCUUAAAAGAAGAAGAAGUAGACAAUUAUCAAAGGGAAGAGGGAGGAAGGAAAGAGAAGGGAAAUAAAGAGAGAUGACACAAGGGAACUGGACCAGAUAAAGACAAAGCAAUGCACUUAACCCACCUGGAGAGCACAUCGGACCAGCAAGGCGCUCUCAGCCAAUCGCCUGGGUCUGCGGCUGGGAGGAGAGUCCGCAUGGGUUCAUUUGGCUGAGGAGUGUGUUUCAUAAACCUUACGGUGCAGCUAUGAAAGCUAUCAGGAUCUUCCCACGUUUCCUGUCAUUCCGUGGAGAUUGGCUGCUGGAGUGCUUGGUUGGGGGGGCGGUGGGGAGUGGAGGUGGUAGGGGAAGAGGAUGCUUGGGUUGUUGAGGGGAGACUGGCUCUGGUGGGAAGUGGAAUCACACAGGAAUUUAUUUUAAGUGCAUAAACAAAAUGAAAUGAGGAAAAAAAGAAAAAAAACCAGUGUAUUCCUUUUGGGUCAUGUGAGAGAGCCACUGGCAAAGAUGAGGGGGCAAUGAGAAAGGAAGAGAGAAAAAGAGAGAGAGAGGCAAAAAGCUUUCUAUGAUUUGGGGCACUGGUGAAGCACACUGAGGCAGCUGGAAGAUUAAAUUAAGUAUCAUAUCUGCUGACCCUAUUGCCAUGGUUACCGGACAGCGGAAAAUAUUCAUCAACCCGAGCCUUUUCAGAUGAAUGUGCUUGAAAAAAUACAAUAAAUAUAAAUAUAUAUGUAUAUCCUCCCCGCUCUGCUGUCUAAAUGCAGAACGUCAGCCAGUGCACCACCUGAUAGUGGAGAUAAACAAAUAAUAAUAACAAAAUGCUCGCCUCCCUGAGAAAGCUUACGUCACUUACAAGAAGCAGGGCGUGAACAGUAGGGCUGACCACUUGUUCACUUUCUCUUUAGCUGAUCUCUUUCCCCCUACCCCCUUCAAUGAUGAACCAUCCUGCCUGGUUUGAUUACAAAGUAAAGGGG